GCGUGAGGUCGGAAGUUCAAGUCUUCCCAGGCCCACCAUUUUGAUCGAGUGCGGAGCAUUCGUCUUCUGGUACGGGGCCAUAGCUCAGCUGGGAGAGCGCGUGCUUUGCAAGCAUGAGGUCGUCGGUUCGAUCCCGUCUGGCUCCACCAGAUGGAAUUGAAGCUCGAGUAUGCCUCGUCAAUAUCGUCCGCGAAACAUCACUUCGCACUCAUUGGUCCGGAUGGACGGUGACGUGCGUGUUUUCUGACAUCGUAAAGAGGAGAUCGAUCCGAGUUUGGAUCAAGCGAAGCAAUUCGCCUGAGCCAUUCAUUAUCUCCGGGAUCAUUUCGGCGCUCGCGCAUCGCAGUUCAUCGCAAGAUGAGUGAGGUGAGCGGGUUGUAAAUGAUCUCAUUUAGCGAAGCUUGACCGCCUCGCUAUCGGGCCGAUCUUACGAAGCAAGCUGGUCUUUCUAGUCAAUGUCCGGCUGCGCAACCGCAUUCAUCGAGGAUGCGCGUCUGGGACUUCGGUCUUCGGGCAGUUGUGCAGACAACAUUCUGCCGAGUGUGUGGACAUUGAUAAUGAGAGC
This 565-nucleotide transfer RNA is filed under the name Bradyrhizobium sp. Am1d. RNAcentral's name for it is "partial 16S-23S ribosomal RNA intergenic spacer". The stretch from base 74 to 146 matches the Rfam family "tRNA". Lineage: Bacteria; Pseudomonadati; Pseudomonadota; Alphaproteobacteria; Hyphomicrobiales; Nitrobacteraceae. The record is from RNAcentral.